Molecule: long non-coding RNA, 270 nt
Filed under: Panax ginseng (ginseng)
Lineage: Eukaryota; Viridiplantae; Streptophyta; Magnoliopsida; Apiales; Araliaceae
Description: long non-coding RNA (PGIN_LNC004068)
Source: RNAcentral
UAUCUAUAGCAAUUAUAAGUCCACAUAAAUAAACUGAGAAACUUGCCUUGAUUGGAGAUUACCGAAAAAUUUAACUUAGCUUCUCUCCACAAAUCCUACACAACUUGAUUGGAGAUUACCGAAAAAUUUAUCUUAGCUUCUCUCCACAAAUCCUACACAACUUAUUGAUUCGAAGGUAACAAAGAAGUUAUACUGCCCAGCUUCUCCUCCUACUCUUAGCCGGACUCUUCCUCUCUUACUCUCACUGAAUUGAUAUAGCUUUUAAUUUCU